This is a small nuclear RNA of Echinops telfairi (small Madagascar hedgehog), 107 nucleotides long. The record is from Ensembl. Lineage: Eukaryota; Metazoa; Chordata; Mammalia; Afrosoricida; Tenrecidae.
AUGCUCGCUUCGGCACCACAUAUACUAAAACCAGAACGAUAAAGAGAUGAUAAGCGUGGCCCCUGCACAACGAUGACACACAAAUUCGUGAAUCAUUCCAUAUUAAA